Molecule: non-coding RNA, 190 nt
Filed under: Desulfofarcimen acetoxidans
Lineage: Bacteria; Bacillati; Bacillota; Clostridia; Eubacteriales; Peptococcaceae
Also listed under: 1 other name
Source: RNAcentral
UUAAUAUGUAAUUGAUCAGAUUCCCCGGUUAUGUCGGGGAUGAAACGGGAAUUGGGUGUGAAUCCCGGACGGUCCGGCCACUGUAAGUGGGGAGCGGUUCCUCCAUAUGCCACUGGGUUUUGUGCCUGGGAAGGCUGGGAAUACGCUUUGAGCCAUAAGUCAGGAGACCUGCCAGGUUAAUUUGAAUGCU